Molecule: ribosomal RNA, 333 nt
Filed under: uncultured Lactobacillus sp.
Lineage: Bacteria; Bacillati; Bacillota; Bacilli; Lactobacillales; Lactobacillaceae
Description: bacterial SSU rRNA
Rfam family: Bacterial small subunit ribosomal RNA
Source: RNAcentral
UGCUAUCACUCUUGGGACGGGACCCUGCGGUGCAUUUAGCUAGUUGGUAGGGUAACGGGCCUACCAAGGCGAUGAUGCAUAGCCCGAGUUGAGAGACUGAUCGGGCCACAUUGGGGACUGAGACACGGGCCCAAAACUCCUACGGGGAGGCAGCAGUAGGGAAUCUUCCACAAUGGACGCAAGUCUGAUGGAGCAACGCCGCGUGAGUGAAGAAGGGUUUCGGCUACGUAAAGCUCUGUUGUUGGUGAAGAAGGACAGGGGUAGUAACUGACCUUUGUUUGACGGUAAUCAAUUAGAAGUCACGGCUAACUACGUGCCAGCAGCCGCGGUAAU